CGGGCCGUGGUGUAAUGGUAGCACACAUACUUUGGGAGUAUGCAGCGUGAGUUCGAUUCUCGCCGGCCCGA
This 71-nucleotide transfer RNA is filed under the name bacterium. Its description in RNAcentral is "tRNA-Pro". It matches the Rfam family "tRNA". From Rfam's summary of the family: Transfer RNA (tRNA) molecules are approximately 80 nucleotides in length. The record is from RNAcentral.